AUGCUCAACUCAAAAUCCUACACCUACCAAUCCCUUCGAGUGAAGCCAUUGGAAAUCUCAUACAGUUCAGUCAAUUUCUUGAGUGACAGAGACAAGGUUCUUUUGGUCUCUGAGGAAUUUGUUCUGACUGAGGAGUUAGAAAUUCGCCUUUGCGGAUUGCCUACAAGUGAGGAACAUGAUAGCCCUGAGGAAUUUGAGCCUCAAAUAUCCGACCGUUGCUAUGCUACGCGACAGCUGUCCCAAAAUAUCUACCCACCUAACGGUCGUAUCACUGAAGGGCAUUUAUGUCUUAUCAUGUCGGGCUGCUCCCUAGGCUAUAAAUAG
RNAcentral lists this ribosomal RNA (324 nucleotides) under Triticum aestivum (bread wheat). RNAcentral describes it as "partial small subunit ribosomal RNA". The record is from RNAcentral. Lineage: Eukaryota; Viridiplantae; Streptophyta; Magnoliopsida; Poales; Poaceae.